Molecule: ribosomal RNA, 497 nt
Filed under: uncultured bacterium
Lineage: Bacteria
Description: partial 16S ribosomal RNA
Rfam family: Bacterial small subunit ribosomal RNA
Source: RNAcentral
GAUGAACGCUGGCGGCGUGCCUAAUACAUGCAAGUCGAGCGAACAGACGAGGAGCUUGCUCCUCUGACGUUAGCGGCGGACGUGUGAGUAACACGUGUAUAACCUACCUAUAAGACUGGUAUAACUUCGGGAAACCGGAGCUAAUACCGGAUAAUAUAUUGAACCGCAUGGUUCAAUAGUGAAAUACGGUUUUGCUGGCUCUUAUAGAUGGAUCCGCGCCGUAUUAGCUAGUUGGUAAGGUAACGGCUUAUCAAGGCAACGAUGCGUAGCCGACCUGAGAGGGUGAUAGGCCACACUGGAACGGAGACACGGUCCAGACGCCUACGGGAGGCAGCAGUAGGGAAUCUUCCGCAAUGGGCGAGAGCUUGACGGAGCAACGCCGCGUGAGUGAUGGAGGUCUUCGGAGCGUAAAACUCUGUUAUGAGGGAAGAACAAAUGUGUAAGUAACUAUGCACGGCUUGACGGUACCUAGUCAGAAAGCCACGGCUAACUACGUG